Molecule: unclassified non-coding RNA, 602 nt
Filed under: Hevea brasiliensis (rubber tree)
Lineage: Eukaryota; Viridiplantae; Streptophyta; Magnoliopsida; Malpighiales; Euphorbiaceae
Source: RNAcentral
GAUGGAAAACACAAGAAUGAAACUUGUUCCCACUGGAAAUAAGUUCGUGAAUACACUCUCCUGACGCCAAUGACCACACUCGGACAGAUUCUUGACUGACAGAGGCCAAGAAGUCUCCAUUUACAUCCCAACAAAUGGAGUGUACCUCAGUGGAGUGACCCAGUAAUGAGUGCGUCUGUCUGUCAGUUUCAACAUCAAAUAUGGACACAACAUUCUCCGCAGCUGCAGCCAGCAGCUGCCCAAUUCUUGGCUGAAAUCUAACUUGUGCAGUACCUCCCUUAGAUAUGCGGGUGCUAGAAUACUGAUUGACGUUCCAGAAGCGUAUCUCAUUGUUACCAUCACAAGAGCAGAAAAGGUCAUUUUUCUUAGGGUGGAAAUCAAGAGACAUCACAUGUGAGGUAUGCCCAGUAUAUGUCUGCAAGGAAUACCUUGGAUCUACAGCAUCCCAGAGUCGAACACUUGUAUCAAAUGAAGAUGUUGCCAGCUGAGUUGUAUUUGGUCUGAAACGAACAUCAGUAAUUAUGUGAUUGUGUUCUUCAGGAGUGCAUUCCGUCUGCAGAGUUUCCAUGUUCCAAAGAACAACCUUCUUGUCAUGCCCAGCA